UCUGUGUUGAUCAAAAUGAAUGUCCGCCAGUGGCCAGGUGUCAGCAUCUGGGAUAAAGGAUUCGGGACCUUGCCUGAGGCAGAAGGCAGCCUAGGUCUGCCGGUCCCUGGAAGUCUAGUGAGUUGUGACGCUGCUGCCAGUGACAAAUGGUGACUCCCACACUCACAUAUCCCCUGGUGGCAGAAUGAUAGCGAUGGGUGGAGAAACAUGGCUCCUGAGCACACGUUGAAUGGGGCACCGGCCGAAGGCCAGGGCCAGGAGUGGACGUCGUGGAGCUGAAUGGCGAGCCAGUGAAGGGCCCAAGGAUUUCUCCUGUAUGUGGCAAACAGGUCAUCCGUGUCCCCACGUCCAUAAACCAUUGGACUGCCGGGGCCCAGGCUGCCAGGAUUUCGGCCUUGCCUUCGGAGCCCGGCCACAUACGCAGCCUUGCACCGGGGGCGGGGACAUGUAGACAGCAAAAAUUUGGAAAAUGGCAGUGUCUCCUCGAUUUCCCCGGCAUCGGCCUAUCUGAGCGGCAUGCUUUGUUUCCGAGUAGGAUAAGGCACUGACGGAGAAAGGCAGGAUUAUGUGUGCAGGAAAGGUGUGUGCUGAGAGGGUGACGACGUUGAGACCAGGUUGGGAUCUUUAGUCCCAGGAAAGGCCCCUGGCAGGUGUGGGUGAAUGUUCUCUGCCCAUCCGAGUUGGCGGGGGGAGGUUUUCAGCAAACAAAGCAGCAGCGGGAUUAUUCGUCGCCGGAGAGGUUGCAUCUGCCCACAAGCUCCACCUGGCCAGGGACCGCCCCUACUGUAUUGCCCAUGUCAAUCAACAGAAGCUAAGACCUUCCAGAGAGACUACCUGCUAUUGUCUAGCCACGGGGAAGCGGUCCAGCCAGAAGCCUCCCCCGUUUCAUCUCCAGGCUCUCUGUCAGGCCCCUCAUACUUGUGAUGUGUCUCAGGGGUAGAAGGAAGAGAUUCCUCUGAAUGAACACAUCCAGAGAGGGGCCAUAGAUGCUGAGGAAGGGCACCUUGCCUACUGACAUCCUAGCGUAAGUGGUAAAGAGGUACCUGCCUGCUGUCCCAGUGUGUCGAACGUGUCCGCAUCAGGGAUUGGCUACUGUGAAGUUAUUCCCUGGUGCCCUCGAUUUUGUGGCCAAAGACACAAGGGCCUGUUGUGUGUCCAUGGGUACCAUGGAGGGCUCUGCAGAACUGGCCGGUUAGGCUGGACUUCUCCUAUUGGCUCAGUGUUUGUGACCCGUCCCCGUCAGAAGUUCCGGCCAGCCUUCCGGUGGCUGUCUCCAUGGUGAUUGGGGAAGAAGCCUUAGGCCCCGCACUCAGCCUUCACCUGGCCUACGUGGCCUCUUUACCCUCAUCUGGACCGCCGUGUGGAUGCAAGAAAGGAUGUCGGCCAGUGACCACGUGUCCUCAUUUCCUUUGAAGGAUUUCGCUCCUUGCCCGGGCAGAAGACAGCCAAGGUCAGCCUGAGCCUAAACACCUAGUGACCUGUGACACUGCAGCUAGUGAUAGAUGUAGAUUUCCACGCUCAGGUAUCCGCAGGUGGCGGAUUGAGAGUGGUCGGAGGAGAAGUGUAACUAGAGAUCACGCACUCACGAGGGCACGGGUCAAAGGUCUCGGAAAAUAGCUGAGGUCGUGGAGCCCUAGCGGAGCCAGUCUAGGGCACAGGCCUCCGUCCUGUACUUGGCAAAUAGGUGGCACCAUCUGCAGAGUAUGCCGCCAUCCGCAGACUCUGGACUGCUGGGGCCCUGGACGCCCGGAUUUCGGCCUUGUCUUUGGAGAAGUGACGCGCAUGCAGUGUGCCACCGGGGGCUGUGGCCCAGCAGAAGCAAAAUCUUGAAAAUGCGGGCUUCAUUUGACUUUGCCUGUGUUCUCCUUUGGCUGAGUGCCAUCCUGUGUUUCCUAGCAGGAGAAGCAUUCCUGGAGAGAGGCGGAUUCCAUGUGUGCCGGCAAAGUGUGUGCUGAGAUGAUGAGUCGCUGGAGACCAGGGUGGACUCUUCAGACCCAGGAUAGGCCUCUGGCAGCAGGAGAAGCAUUCCUGGAGAGAGGCGGAUUCCAUGUGUGCCGGCAAAGUGUGUGCUGAGAUGAUGAGUCGCUGGAGACCAGGGUGGACUCUUCAGACCCAGGAUAGGCCUCUGGCAGGUAUGUGUCAAUGUUUUCUGCCCAUGGCACUCAGCCGGGUAUUUGAAUACAAUGUUAUCAGCGGAAUUAGUAGUCUCCGGAGAGGCUGCCCCGUGUCAACAAGCUUCACCCGGCCAGGGUUCACCCGUGAUGUAGCUCCCCAAUCAAUCACUACUCCCUAGUCCUUCCAGAUGGACUACCAGAUCUUCUCUGCCCUUGGGCAACCAGUACAGCCAGAGGCCUUCCCCCUUUCCCCUUUCGUCUCUAGACACUCUGUCAGGCACUCCAAGCUGUGAAGUGCCUGGGGGGGAGAAGGAAGAGAUUUCAGAGAAUGAACACAUACAGAGAGAGAGAGAGACAGAGAGAGAGGCAGGAGAUGCUGAGUGGGGAUGUCUUGCGUACUGAUAUCCUGAGGAAAGUGGGAAAAUUGGACCCUGGCCUGCUGUGCCAAUGCCCUGAAGCAGUCCGCACCAGGGUCUCCCUUGUGCCUGCCUAGCCUUUCCCAGGGUGUGCUCAAAUCCUGUGGCCACUAGGUGUCCUGGGUCACAAUGGAGGGCCCUGUGUCAUCUGCCUGGCGGGCUGGAUCUCUGCCAUUGGCUGAGUCUUGUCACCAGGCCCAUGAUAAGCUGCGCCUACUCUUCCGGUGGGGAGACUGUCUCCAUGGUGAUGGCAAAGAAGCCUUAGUCCCGCCCACCUGGCCUUCACUUCACCUACCCGGCCUGCUGACCCUCACUCAGACCUCUGUGUUGAUCAAAAUGAAUGUCCGCCAGUGGCCAGGUGUCAGCAUCUGGGAUAAAGGAUUCGGGACCUUGCCUGAGGCAGAAGGCAGCCUAGGUCUGCCGGUCCCUGGAAGUCUAGUGAGUUGUGACGCUGCUGCCAGUGACAAAUGGUGACUCCCACACUCACAUAUCCCCUGGUGGCAGAAUGAUAGCGAUGGGUGGAGAAACAUGGCUCCUGAGCACACGUUGAAUGGGGCACCGGCCGAAGGCCAGGGCCAGGAGUGGACGUCGUGGAGCUGAAUGGCGAGCCAGUGAAGGGCCCAAGGAUUUCUCCUGUAUGUGGCAAACAGGUCAUCCGUGUCCCCACGUCCAUAAACCAUUGGACUGCCGGGGCCCAGGCUGCCAGGAUUUCGGCCUUGCCUUCGGAGCCCGGCCACAUACGCAGCCUUGCACCGGGGGCGGGGACAUGUAGACAGCAAAAAUUUGGAAAAUGGCAGUGUCUCCUCGAUUUCCCCGGCAUCGGCCUAUCUGAGCGGCAUGCUUUGUUUCCGAGUAGGAUAAGGCACUGACGGAGAAAGGCAGGAUUAUGUGUGCAGGAAAGGUGUGUGCUGAGAGGGUGACGACGUUGAGACCAGGUUGGGAUCUUUAGUCCCAGGAAAGGCCCCUGGCAGGUGUGGGUGAAUGUUCUCUGCCCAUCUGAGUUGGCGGGGGGAGGUUUUCAGCAAACAAAGCAGCAGCGGGAUUAUUCGUCGCCGGAGAGGUUGCAUCUGCCCACAAGCUCCACCUGGCCAGGGACCGCCCCUACUGUAUUGCCCAUGUCAAUCAACAGAAGCUAAGACCUUCCAGAGAGACUACCUGCUAUUGUCUAGCCACGGGGAAGCAGUCCAGCCAGAAGCCUCCCCCGUUUCAUCUCCAGGCUCUCUGUCAGGCCCCUCAUACUUGUGAUGUGUCUCAGGGGUAGAAGGAAGAGAUUCCUCUGAAUGAACACAUCCAGAGAGGGGCCAUAGAUGCUGAGGAAGGGCACCUUGCCUACUGACAUCCUAGCGUAAGUGGUAAAGAGGUACCUGCCUGCUGUCCCAGUGUGUCGAACGUGUCCGCAUCAGGGAUUGGCUACUGUGAAGUUAUUCCCUGGUGCCCUCGAUUUUGUGGCCAAAGACACAAGGGCCUGUUGUGUGUCCAUGGGUACCAUGGAGGGCUCUGCAGAACUGGCCGGUUAGGCUGGACUUCUCCUAUUGGCUCAGUGUUUGUGACCCGUCCCCGUCAGAAGUUCCGGUCAGCCUUCCGGUGGCUGUCUCCAUGGUGAUUGGGGAAGAAGCCUUAGGCCCCGCACUCAGCCUUCACCUGGCCUACGUGGCCUCUUUACCCUCAUCUGGACCGCCGUGUGGAUGCAAGAAAGGAUGUCGGCCAGUGACCACGUGUCCUCAUUUCCUUUGAAGGAUUUCGCUCCUUGCCCGGGCAGAAGACAGCCAAGGUCAGCCUGAGCCUAAACACCUAGUGACCUGUGACACUGCAGCUAGUGAUAGAUGUAGAUUUCCACGCUCAGGUAUCCGCAGGUGGUGGAUUGAGAGUGGUCGGAGGAGAAGUGUAACUAGAGAUCACGCACUCACGAGGGCACGGGUCAAAGGUCUCGGAAAAUAGCUGAGGUCGUGGAGCCCUAGCGGAGCCAGUCUAGGGCACAGGCCUCCGUCCUGUACUUGGCAAAUAGGUGGCACCAUCUGCAGAGUAUGCCGCCAUCCGCAGACUCUGGACUGCUGGGGCCCUGGACGCCCGGAUUUCGGCCUUGUCUUUGGAGAAGUGACGCGCAUGCAGUGUGCCACCGGGGGCUGUGGCCCAGCAGAAGCAAAAUCUUGAAAAUGCGGGCUUCAUUUGACUUUGCCUGUGUUCUCCUUUGGCUGAGUGCCAUCCUGUGUUUCCUAGCAGGAGAAGCAUUCCUGGAGAGAGGCGGAUUCCAUGUGUGCCGGCAAAGUGUGUGCUGAGAUGAUGAGUCGCUGGAGACCAGGGUGGACUCUUCAGACCCAGGAUAGGCCUCUGGCAGGUAUGUGUCAAUGUUUUCUGCCCAUGGCACUCAGCCGGGUAUUUGAAUACAAUGUUAUCAGCGGAAUUAGUAGUCUCCGGAGAGGCUGCCCCGUGUCAACAAGCUUCACCCGGCCAGGGUUCACCCGUGAUGUAGCUCCCCAAUCAAUCACUACUCCCUAGUCCUUCCAGAUAGACUACCAGAUCUUCUCUGCCCUUGGGCAACCAGUACAGCCAGAGGCCUUCCCCCUUUGCCCUUUCGUCUCUAGACACUCUGUCAGGCACUCCAAGCUGUGAAGUGCCUGGGGGGGAGAAGGAAGAGAUUUCAGAGAAUGAACACAUACAGAGAGAGAGAGAGACAGAGAGAGAGGCAGGAGAUGCUGAGUGGGGAUGUCUUGCGUACUGAUAUCCUGAGGAAAGUGGGAAAAUUGGACCCUGGCCUGCUGUGCCAAUGCCCUGAAGCAGUCCGCACCAGGGGCUCCCUUGUGCCUGCGUAGCCUUUCCCAGGGUGUGCUCAAAUCCUGUGGCCACUAGGUGUCCUGGGUCACAAUGGAGGGCCCUGUGUCAUCUGCCUGGCGGGCUGGAUCUCUGCCACUGGCUGAGCCUUGUCACCAGGCCCAUGAUAAGCUGCGCCUACUCUUCCGGUGGGGAGACUGUCUCCAUGGUGAUGGCAAAGAAGCCUUAGUCCCGCCCACCUGGCCUUCACUUCACCUACCCGGCCUGCUGACCCUCACUCAGACCUCUGUGUUGAUCAAAAUGAAUGUCCGCCAGUGGCCAGGUGUCAGCAUCUGGGAUAAAGGAUUCGGGACCUUGCCUGAGGCAGAAGGCAGCCUAGGUCUGCCGGUCCCUGGAAGUCUAGUGAGUUGUGACGCUGCUGCCAGUGACAAAUGGUGACUCCCACACUCACAUAUCCCCUGGUGGCAGAAUGAUAGCGAUGGGUGGAGAAACAUGGCUCCUGAGCACACGUUGAAUGGGGCACCGGCCGAAGGCCAGGGCCAGGAGUGGACGUCGUGGAGCUGAAUGGCGAGCCAGUGAAGGGCCCAAGGAUUUCUCCUGUAUGUGGCAAACAGGUCAUCCGUGUCCCCACGUCCAUAAACCAUUGGACUGCCGGGGCCCAGGCUGCCAGGAUUUCGGCCUUGCCUUCGGAGCCCGGCCACAUACGCAGCCUUGCACCGGGGGCGGGGACAUGUAGACAGCAAAAAUUUGGAAAAUGGCAGUGUCUCCUCGAUUUCCCCGGCAUCGGCCUAUCUGAGCGGCAUGCUUUGUUUCCGAGUAGGAUAAGGCACUGACGGAGAAAGGCAGGAUUAUGUGUGCAGGAAAGGUGUGUGCUGAGAGGGUGACGACGUUGAGACCAGGUUGGGAUCUUUAGUCCCAGGAAAGGCCCCUGGCAGGUGUGGGUGAAUGUUCUCUGCCCAUCCGAGUUGGCGGGGGGAGGUUUUCAGCAAACAAAGCAGCAGCGGGAUUAUUCGUCGCCGGAGAGGUUGCAUCUGCCCACAAGCUCCACCUGGCCAGGGACCGCCCCUACUGUAUUGCCCAUGUCAAUCAACAGAAGCUAAGACCUUCCAGAGAGACUACCUGCUAUUGUCUAGCCACGGGGAAGCGGUCCAGCCAGAAGCCUCCCCCGUUUCAUCUCCAGGCUCUCUGUCAGGCCCCUCAUACUUGUGAUGUGUCUCAGGGGUAGAAGGAAGAGAUUCCUCUGAAUGAACACAUCCAGAGAGGGGCCAUAGAUGCUGAGGAAGGGCACCUUGCCUACUGACAUCCUAGCGUAAGUGGUAAAGAGGUACCUGCCUGCUGUCCCAGUGUGUCGAACGUGUCCGCAUCAGGGAUUGGCUACUGUGAAGUUAUUCCCUGGUGCCCUCGAUUUUGUGGCCAAAGACACAAGGGCCUGUUGUGUGUCCAUGGGUACCAUGGAGGGCUCUGCAGAACUGGCCGGUUAGGCUGGACUUCUCCUAUUGGCUCAGUGUUUGUGACCCGUCCCCGUCAGAAGUUCCGGCCAGCCUUCCGGUGGCUGUCUCCAUGGUGAUUGGGGAAGAAGCCUUAGGCCCCGCACUCAGCCUUCACCUGGCCUACGUGGCCUCUUUACCCUCAUCUGGACCGCCGUGUGGAUGCAAGAAAGGAUGUCGGCCAGUGACCACGUGUCCUCAUUUCCUUUGAAGGAUUUCGCUCCUUGCCCGGGCAGAAGACAGCCAAGGUCAGCCUGAGCCUAAACACCUAGUGACCUGUGACACUGCAGCUAGUGAUAGAUGUAGAUUUCCACGCUCAGGUAUCCGCAGGUGGCGGAUUGAGAGUGGUCGGAGGAGAAGUGUAACUAGAGAUCACGCACUCACGAGGGCACGGGUCAAAGGUCUCGGAAAAUAGCUGAGGUCGUGGAGCCCUAGCGGAGCCAGUCUAGGGCACAGGCCUCCGUCCUGUACUUGGCAAAUAGGUGGCACCAUCUGCAGAGUAUGCCGCCAUCCGCAGACUCUGGACUGCUGGGGCCCUGGACGCCCGGAUUUCGGCCUUGUCUUUGGAGAAGUGACGCGCAUGCAGUGUGCCACCGGGGGCUGUGGCCCAGCAGAAGCAAAAUCUUGAAAAUGCGGGCUUCAUUUGACUUUGCCUGUGUUCUCCUUUGGCUGAGUGCCAUCCUGUGUUUCCUAGCAGGAGAAGCAUUCCUGGAGAGAGGCGGAUUCCAUGUGUGCCGGCAAAGUGUGUGCUGAGAUGAUGAGUCGCUGGAGACCAGGGUGGACUCUUCAGACCCAGGAUAGGCCUCUGGCAGGUAUGUGUCAAUGUUUUCUGCCCAUGGCACUCAGCCGGGUAUUUGAAUACAAUGUUAUCAGCGGAAUUAGUAGUCUCCGGAGAGGCUGCCCCGUGUCAACAAGCUUCACCCGGCCAGGGUUCACCCGUGAUGUAGCUCCCCAAUCAAUCACUACUCCCUAGUCCUUCCAGAUAGACUACCAGAUCUUCUCUGCCCUUGGGCAACCAGUACAGCCAGAGGCCUUCCCCCUUUGCCCUUUCGUCUCUAGACACUCUGUCAGGCACUCCAAGCUGUGAAGUGCCUGGGGGGGAGAAGGAAGAGAUUUCAGAGAAUGAACACAUACAGAGAGAGAGAGAGACAGAGAGAGAGGCAGGAGAUGCUGAGUGGGGAUGUCUUGCGUACUGAUAUCCUGAGGAAAGUGGGAAAAUUGGACCCUGGCCUGCUGUGCCAAUGCCCUGAAGCAGUCCGCACCAGGGGCUCCCUUGUGCCUGCCUAGCCUUUCCCAGGGUGUGCUCAAAUCCUGUGGCCACUAGGUGUCCUGGGUCACAAUGGAGGGCCCUGUGUCAUCUGCCUGGCGGGCUGGAUCUCUGCCACUGGCUGAGCCUUGUCACCAGGCCCAUGAUAAGCUGCGCCUACUCUUCCGGUGGGGAGACUGUCUCCAUGGUGAUGGCAAAGAAGCCUUAGUCCCGCCCACCUGGCCUUCACUUCACCUACCCGGCCUGCUGACCCUCACUCAGACCUCUGUGUUGAUCAAAAUGAAUGUCCGCCAGUGGCCAGGUGUCAGCAUCUGGGAUAAAGGAUUCGGGACCUUGCCUGAGGCAGAAGGCAGCCUAGGUCUGCCGGUCCCUGGAAGUCUAGUGAGUUGUGACGCUGCUGCCAGUGACAAAUGGUGACUCCCACACUCACAUAUCCCCUGGUGGCAGAAUGAUAGCGAUGGGUGGAGAAACAUGGCUCCUGAGCACACGUUGAAUGGGGCACCGGCCGAAGGCCAGGGCCAGGAGUGGACGUCGUGGAGCUGAAUGGCGAGCCAGUGAAGGGCCCAAGGAUUUCUCCUGUAUGUGGCAAACAGGUCAUCCGUGUCCCCACGUCCAUAAACCAUUGGACUGCCGGGGCCCAGGCUGCCAGGAUUUCGGCCUUGCCUUCGGAGCCCGGCCACAUACGCAGCCUUGCACCGGGGGCGGGGACAUGUAGACAGGAAAAAUUUGGAAAAUGGCAGUGUCUCCUCGAUUUCCCCGGCAUCGGCCUAUUUGAGCUGCAUGCUUUGUUUCCUAGUAGGAUAAGGCACUGAGGGAGAAAGGCAGGAUUAUGUGUGCAGGAAAGGUGUGUGCUGAGAGGGUGACGACGUUGAGACCAGGUUGGGAUCUUUAGUCCCAGGAAAGGCCCCUGGCAGGUGUGGGUGAAUGUUCUCUGCCCAUCCGAGUUGGCGGGGGGAGGUUUUCAGCAAACAAAGCAGCAGCGGGAUUAUUCGUCGCCGGAGAGGUUGCAUCUGCCCACAAGCUCCACCUGGCCAGGGACCGCCCCUACUGUAUUGCCCAUGUCAAUCAACAGAAGCUAAGACCUUCCAGAGAGACUACCUGCUAUUGUCUAGCCACGGGGAAGCGGUCCAGCCAGAAGCCUCCCCCGUUUCAUCUCCAGGCUCUCUGUCAGGCCCCUCAUACUUGUGAUGUGUCUCAGGGGUAGAAGGAAGAGAUUCCUCUGAAUGAACACAUCCAGAGAGGGGCCAUAGAUGCUGAGGAAGGGCACCUUGCCUACUGACAUCCUAGCGUAAGUGGUAAAGAGGUACCUGCCUGCUGUCCCAGUGUGUUGAACGUGUCCACAUCAGGGAUUGGCUACUGUGAAGUUAUUCCCUGGUGCCCUCGAUUUUGUGGCCAAAGACACAAGGGCCUGUUGUGUGUCCAUGGGUACCAUGGAGGGCUCUGCAGAACUGGCCGGUUAGGCUGGACUUCUCCUAUUGGCUCAGUGUUUGUGACCCGUCCCCGUCAGAAGUUCCGGUCAGCCUUCCGGUGGCUGUCUCCAUGGUGAUUGGGGAAGAAGCCUUAGGCCCCGCACUCAGCCUUCACCUGGCCUACGUGGCCUCUUUACCCUCAUCUGGACCGCCGUGUGGAUGCAAGAAAGGAUGUCGGCCAGUGACCACGUGUCCUCAUUUCCUUUGAAGGAUUUCGCUCCUUGCCCGGGCAGAAGACAGCCAAGGUCAGCCUGAGCCUAAACACCUAGUGACCUGUGACACUGCAGCUAGUGAUAGAUGUAGAUUUCCACGCUCAGGUAUCCGCAGGUGGUGGAUUGAGAGUGGUCGGAGGAGAAGUGUAACUAGAGAUCACGCACUCACGAGGGCACGGGUCAAAGGUCUCGGAAAAUAGCUGAGGUCGUGGAGCCCUAGCGGAGCCAGUCUAGGGCACAGGCCUCCGUCCUGUACUUGGCAAAUAGGUGGCACCAUCUGCAGAGUAUGCCGCCAUCCGCAGACUCUGGACUGCUGGGGCCCUGGACGCCCGGAUUUCGGCCUUGUCUUUGGAGAAGUGACGCGCAUGCAGUGUGCCACCGGGGGCUGUGGCCCAGCAGAAGCAAAAUCUUGAAAAUGCGGGCUUCAUUUGACUUUGCCUGUGUUCUCCUUUGGCUGAGUGCCAUCCUGUGUUUCCUAGCAGGAGAAGCAUUCCUGGAGAGAGGCGGAUUCCAUGUGUGCCGGCAAAGUGUGUGCUGAGAUGAUGAGUCGCUGGAGACCAGGGUGGACUCUUCAGACCCAGGAUAGGCCUCUGGCAGCAGGAGAAGCAUUCCUGGAGAGAGGCGGAUUCCAUGUGUGCCGGCAAAGUGUGUCCUGAGAUGAUGAGUCGCUGGAGACCAGGGUGGACUCUUCAGACCCAGGAUAGGCCUCUGGCAGGUAUGUGUCAAUGUUUUCUGCCCAUGGCACUCAGCCGGGUAUUUGAAUACAAUGUUAUCAGCGGAAUUAGUAGUCUCCGGAGAGGCUGCCCCGUGUCAACAAGCUUCACCCGGCCAGGGUUCACCCGUGAUGUAGCUCCCCAAUCAAUCACUACUCCCUAGUCCUUCCAGAUAGACUACCAGAUCUUCUCUGCCCUUGGGCAACCAGUACAGCCAGAGGCCUUCCCCCUUUGCCCUUUCGUCUCUAGACACUCUGUCAGGCACUCCAAGCUGUGAAGUGCCUGGGGGGGAGAAGGAAGAGAUUUCAGAGAAUGAACACAUACAGAGAGAGAGAGAGACAGAGAGAGAGGCAGGAGAUGCUGAGUGGGGAUGUCUUGCGUACUGAUAUCCUGAGGAAAGUGGGAAAAUUGGACCCUGGCCUGCUGUGCCAAUGCCCUGAAGCAGUCCGCACCAGGGGCUCCCUUGUGCCUGCCUAGCCUUUCCCAGGGUGUGCUCAAAUCCUGUGGCCACUAGGUGUCCUGGGUCACAAUGGAGGGCCCUGUGUCAUCUGCCUGGCGGGCUGGAUCUCUGCCAUUGGCUGAGCCUUGUCACCAGGCCCAUCAUAAGCUGCGCCUACUCUUCCGGUGGGGAGACUGUCUCCAUGGUGAUGGCAAAGAAGCCUUAGUCCCGCCCACCUGGCCUUCACUUCACCUACCCGGCCUGCUGACCCUCACUCAGACCUCUGUGUUGAUCAAAAUGAAUGUCCGCCAGUGGCCAGGGUUCUGCAUCUGGGAUAAAGGAUUCGGGACCUUGCCUGAGGCAGAAGGCAGCCUAGGUCUGCCGGUCCCUGGAAGUCUAGUGAGUUGUGACGCUGCUGUCAGUGACAAAUGGUGACUCCCACACUCACAUAUCCCCUGGUGGCAGAAUGAUAGCGAUGGGUGGAGAAACAUGGCUCCUGAGCACACGUUGAAUGGGGCACCGGCCAAAGGCCAGGGCCAGGAGUGGACGUCGUGGAGCUGAAUGGCGAGCCAGUGAAGGGCCCAAGGAUUUCUCCUGUAUGUGGCAAACAGGUCAUCCG
This is a long non-coding RNA of Loxodonta africana (African savanna elephant), 11505 nucleotides long. RefSeq lists it as uncharacterized. NCBI's taxonomy places the organism in Eukaryota, Metazoa, Chordata, Mammalia, Proboscidea, Elephantidae. The record is from RefSeq and is a predicted model, not a curated record. The transcript has 3 exons.